This 388-nucleotide ribosomal RNA is filed under the name uncultured bacterium. Its description in RNAcentral is "bacterial SSU rRNA". It matches the Rfam family "Bacterial small subunit ribosomal RNA", at positions 420 to 806 of the family's 1533-position model. The record is from RNAcentral.
GGGUUGUAAACUUCUUUUAUAUUAGAAUAAAGUGCAGUAUGUAUACUGUUUUGUAUGUAUAAUAUGAAUAAGGAUCGGCUAACUCCGUGCCAGCAGCCGCGGUAAUACGGAGGAUCCGAGCGUUAUCCGGAUUUAUUGGGUUUAAAGGGAGCGUAGGUGGGCUGGUAAGUCAGUUGUGAAAGUUUGCGGCUCAACCGUAAAAUUGCAGCUGAUACUGUCAGUCUUGAGUACAGUAGAGGUGGGCGGAAUUCGUGGUGUAGCGGUGAAAUGCUUAGAUAUCACGAAGAACUCCGAUUGCGAAGGCAGCUCACUGGACUGCAACUGACACUGAUGCUCGAAAGUGUGGGUAUCAAACAGGAUUAGAUACCCUGGUAGUCCACACAGUAAA